CAUGCUCCCGGCCGCCAUGGCGGCCGCGGGAAUUCGAUUAGAGUUUGAUCAUGGCUCAGAUUGAACGCUGGGGGCAUGCCUUACACAUGCAAGUCGAACGGCAGCGCGGGGCAACCUGGCGGCGAGUGGCGAACGGGUGAGUAAUAUAUCGGAACGUACCCUGGAGUGGGGGAUAACGUAGCGAAAGUUACGCUAAUACCGCAUACGAUCUAAGGAUGAAAGCAGGGGACCGCAAGGCCUUGUGCUCCUGGAGCGGCCGAUAUCUGAUUAGCUAGUUGGUGGGGUAAAGGCCUACCAAGGCAUCGAUCAGUAGCUGGUCUGAGAGGACGACCAGCCACACUGGAACUGAGACACGGUCCAGACUCCUACGGGAGGCAGCAGUGGGGAAUUUUGGACAAUGGGCGCAAGCCUGAUCCAGCAAUGCCGCGUGAGUGAAGAAGGCCUUCGGGUUGUAAAGCUCUUUUGUCAGGGAAGAAACGGUGAGGGCUAAUAUCCCUUGCUAAUGACGGUACCUGAAGAAUAAGCACCGGCUAACUACGUGCCAGCAGCCGCGGUAAUACGAAUCACUAGUGAAUUCGCGGCCGCCUGCAGGUCGACCAUAUGGGAGAGCUCCCAA
This 616-nucleotide ribosomal RNA is filed under the name uncultured bacterium. RNAcentral's name for it is "partial 16S ribosomal RNA". It matches the Rfam family "Bacterial small subunit ribosomal RNA", at positions 1 to 599 of the family's 1533-position model. The record is from RNAcentral.